RNAcentral lists this ribosomal RNA (596 nucleotides) under uncultured Geobacteraceae bacterium. RNAcentral describes it as "bacterial SSU rRNA". It matches the Rfam family "Bacterial small subunit ribosomal RNA", at positions 97 to 671 of the family's 1533-position model. The record is from RNAcentral. Lineage: Bacteria; Pseudomonadati; Thermodesulfobacteriota; Desulfuromonadia; Geobacterales; Geobacteraceae.
GGCGCACGGGUGAGUAACGCGUGGAUAAUCUACCCAAUGAUCUGGGAUAACAUUCCGAAAGGGGUGCUAAUACCGGAUAAGACCACGGGAUCUCCGGAUUCUGCGGUAAAAGGUGGGGACCUUCGGGCCUACCGUCAUCGGAUGAGUCCGCGUACCAUUAGCUAGUUGGUGGGGUAAUGGCCCACCAAGGCUACGAUGGUUAGCUGGUCUGAGAGGAUGAUCAGCCACACUGGAACUGAGACACGGUCCAGACUCCUACGGGAGGCAGCAGUGGGGAAUUUUGCGCAAUGGGGGAAACCCUGACGCAGCAACGCCGCGUGAGUGAUGAAGGCCUUCGGGUCGUAAAGCUCUGUCAGAGGGGAAGAAAUGCAGGGUCGCUAAUAUCGUCCUUGCUUGACGGUACCCUCAAAGGAAGCACCGGCUAACUCCGUGCCAGCAGCCGCGGUAAUACGGAGGGUGCGAGCGUUGUUCGGAAUUAUUGGGCGUAAAGCGCGUGUAGGCGGUCUUUUAAGUCUGAUGUGAAAGCCCCGGGCUCAACCUGGGAAGUGCAUUGGAUACUGGGAGACUUGAAUACGGGAGAGGGUAGUGGAAUUCCU